GGGCCCGCACAAGCAGUGGAGUAUGUGGUUUAAUUCGAAGCAACGCGAAGAACCUUACCAGGUCUUGACAUCCUACGAAUAGUAUAGAGAUAUGCUAGUCUUUCGGGACGUAGAGACAGGUGGUGCAUGGUUGUCGUCAGCUCGUGUCGUGAGAUGUUGGGUUAAGUCCCGCAACGAGCGCAACCCCUGUUGUUAGUUGCCAUCAUUUAGUUGGGCACUCUAGCGAGACUGCCGGCGACAAGUCGGAGGAAGGUGGGGACGACGUCAAAUCAUCAUGCCCCUUAUGACCUGGGCUACACACGUACUACAAUGGCCGCUACAGAGGGAAGCGAAAUGGCAACAUGGAGCAAAUCCCCAAAGGCGGUCCCAGUUCAGAUUGUGGGCUGAAACCCGCCCACAUGAAGUCGGAAUUGCUAGUAAUGGCAGGUCAGCAUACUGCCGUGAAUACGUUCCCGGGCCUU
This 461-nucleotide ribosomal RNA is filed under the name uncultured bacterium. RNAcentral describes it as "bacterial SSU rRNA". It matches the Rfam family "Bacterial small subunit ribosomal RNA", at positions 917 to 1382 of the family's 1533-position model. The record is from RNAcentral.